UACGUAGGGGGCAAGCGUUGUCCGGAUUUACUGGGCGUAAAGAGCGUGUAGGCGGCCACGCAGGUCCGUUGUGAAAACUGGAGGCUCAACCUCCAGCUGUCGACGGAAACCGUAUGGCUAGAGUCCGGAAGAGGAGAGUGGAAUUCCUGGUGUAGCGGUGAAAUGCGCAGAUAUCAGGAGGAACACCGGUGGCGAAGGCGGUUCUCUGGGCCUUACCUGACGCUGAGGAGCGAAAGCGUGGGGAGCGAACAGG
This 253-nucleotide ribosomal RNA is filed under the name uncultured bacterium. RNAcentral describes it as "partial 16S ribosomal RNA". It matches the Rfam family "Bacterial small subunit ribosomal RNA", at positions 524 to 776 of the family's 1533-position model. The record is from RNAcentral.